Molecule: ribosomal RNA, 761 nt
Filed under: uncultured bacterium
Lineage: Bacteria
Description: bacterial SSU rRNA
Rfam family: Bacterial small subunit ribosomal RNA
Source: RNAcentral
UCUUCGGUCUGGUGGCGAGUGGCGAACGGGNGANUAAUGNANCGGAACGUGCCCAGUAGCGGGGGAUAACUACGCGAAAGCGUAGCUAAUACCGCAUACGCCCUACGGGGGAAAGCAGGGGAUCGCAAGACCUUGCACUAUUGGAGCGGCCGAUAUCGGAUUAGCUAGUUGGUGGGGUAACGGCUCACCAAGGCGACGAUCCGUAGCUGGUUUGAGAGGACGACCAGCCACACUGGGACUGAGACACGGCCCAGACUCCUACGGGAGGCAGCAGUGGGGAAUUUUGGACAAUGGGGGAAACCCUGAUCCAGCCAUCCCGCGUGUGCGAUGAAGGCCUUCGGGUUGUAAAGCACUUUUGGCAGGAAAGAAACGUCAUGGGUUAAUACCCCGUGAAACUGACGGUACCUGCAGAAUAAGCACCGGCUAACUACGCGCCAGCAGCCGCGGUAAUACGUAGGGUGCAAGCGUUAAUCGGAAUUACUGGGCGUAAAGCGUGCGCAGGCGGUUCGGANAGAAAGAUGUGAAAUCCCACAGCUUAACUUUGGAACUGCAUUUUUAACUACCGGGCUAGAGUGUGUCAGANGGAGGUGGAAUUCCGCGUGUANCAGUGAAAUGCGUANAUAUGCGGAGGAACACCGAUGGCGAAAGCAGCCCUCCUGGGAUAACACUGACGCUCAUGCACGAAAGCGUGGGGGAGCAAACAGGAUUAGAUACCCUGNUAGUCCACNCCCUAACGAUGUCACUAGCUGUUGGGCCUUCGG